Molecule: long non-coding RNA, 776 nt
Filed under: Homo sapiens (human)
Lineage: Eukaryota; Metazoa; Chordata; Mammalia; Primates; Hominidae
Description: HSALNT0173064
Source: RNAcentral
CUGAAAAGUGCAAUAUUCGGGUGGGAGUGACCCGAUUUUCCAAGUGCGUCCGUCACCCCUUUCUUUGACUCGGAAAGGGAACUCCCUGACCCCUUGCCCUUCCCAGGUGAGGCAAUGCCUUGCCCUGCUUCGGCUCGCGCACGGUGCGCGCACCCACUGGCCUGCGCCCACUGUCUGGCACUCCCUAGUGAGAUGAACCUGGUACCUCAGAUGGAAAUGCAGAAAUCACCCGUCUUCUGCGUCGCUCACGCUGGGAGCUGUAGACCGGAGCUGUUCCUAUUCGGCCAUCUUGGCUCCUCCCGAUCUCCUGACCUCAGACCAUAGAUCCUAAGUGUGCAGUAGGCUUUCGCGUCUAGGUUUGUGGUCUCACCCUGUCAUCCAGGCUGGAGUACAAAUGACUGGAUCACCAUUUACUGCAGUCUCGACCUCCUGGAUGCAAACAUUUCUCCCACCUCAGCCUCCCAAGUAGCUAGGACUACUAGAGCUUGCCACUACACCCAGCUAAUAUUUUGUAUUUUUUGUAGAGAGAGGGUUUUGCUAUGUUUGCCAAGCUGGUCUCGAACUCCUAGGCUCAAGCGAUCUGUCGGCCUCGGCAUCCCAAAGUGCUGGGAUUACAAGCAUGAGCUGCAGAGUUUUCCAAUCUACUUUAAGACCAGCUUAUUAUCAACCUUACUUCAUUGUACAAUCUCUAUUUUUCUUUGCCAUGUAACCUGACAUAUUCACAGAUUCCAUAAAUUAGAACACAGACAUCUUUGAGAGACAAAUAUUCUGCCUAC